GGCGAACGGUGUGAGUAACACGUGGGUAAUCUGCCCUCGGCACCGGAAUAGCCCGGGGAAACCCGGAUUAAUGCCGGAUGGCCUCUCUGCCCUUCGGGGCGGCGAGAAAAGGUAGCUUCGGCCUCCGGCCGAGGAUGAGCCCGCGGCCGAUUAGCUUGUUGGUGAGGUAACGGCUCACCAAGGCGACGAUCGGUAGCUGGUCUGAGAGGACGAUCAGCCACACUGGGACUGAGACACGGCCCAGACUCCAUACGGGAGGCAGCAGUGGGGAAUCUUGCGCAAUGGGCGAAAGCCUGACGCAGCGACGCCGCGUGCGGGAAGAAGGCCUUCGAGUUGUAAACCGCUUUCAGGAGGGACGAAGCCACUCGGGUUAAUAGCCUAGAGGGUGACGGUACCUCCAGAAGAAGCCCCGGUAACUACGUGCCAGCCGCCGCGG
Molecule: ribosomal RNA, 436 nt
Filed under: uncultured bacterium
Lineage: Bacteria
Description: bacterial SSU rRNA
Rfam family: Bacterial small subunit ribosomal RNA
Source: RNAcentral